RNAcentral lists this ribosomal RNA (582 nucleotides) under Triticum aestivum (bread wheat). RNAcentral's name for it is "partial small subunit ribosomal RNA". Lineage: Eukaryota; Viridiplantae; Streptophyta; Magnoliopsida; Poales; Poaceae. The record is from RNAcentral.
AUGAUGCUCGACGCGUCGCGCAACGUCAAGCUCGGCGACUUCGGGCUGGCGAGGCUCGUCGACCACGGCGCAGAGCCGCAGACGACGCAGGUCGUGGCAGGCACCGUCGGGUACAUUGACCCGGAGUUCGUCAACGACCGCAGGCCGAGCGCCGAGUCCGACGUGUACAGCUUCGGCGUCGUGCUCCUCGAGAUCGCCUGCGGCAGGCGGCCGGCGUCGAGGGGGCCAGGCCAUGCCUCGGCGGCGCUGCUGGCGUCUGUCCGGGAGAUGUACUGCCGGAACCAGAUCCUUGACGCGGCAGACAGGAGGCUCGACGGCGACUUCGACGGGCUGCAGAUGGAGCGUCUGCUCGUGACAGGGCUUUGGUGCAUGCACCACGAUCCGGUGCGGCGGCCGUCGGUGACGCAGGCUGUCGAUGUGCUACGAUCUGAGGACGCCAGGUUGCCGGUGCUUGAAGCGGUGCGUGGUUCUGGGGAGAUUCACUUCUUGGAGGGACAGGCUUAUGGUGAUCUACCCGCCGAGGACUCUGCUUAUUUGCAUGAAUCAACUGAAACUGCGUACCUUAGUGCUACCGAGGACUGA